AUUGAACGCUGGCGGCAGGCCUAACACAUGCAAGUCGAACGAGUGGCGGACGGGUGAGUAAUGUCUGUGAAACUGCCUGUUGGAGGGGGUUAACUACUGGAAACGGUAGCUAAUACCGCAUACCAUCGGAUGUGCCCAUAUGGGAUUAUCUAGUAGGGGGGGUAAAGGCUCCCCUAGGCGACGAUCCCUAGCGGGUCUGAGAGGAUGACCAGCCACACUGGAACGGGGACACGGUCCAGACUCCUACGGGAGGCAGCAGUGGGGAAUAUUGCAAAAUGGGCGAAAGCCGGAUGCAGCCAUGCCGCGUGUAUGAAGAAGGCCUUCGGGUUGUAAAGUACUUUCAGCGGGGAGGCGUUACCAGCAGAAGAAGCACCGGCUAACUCCGUGCCAGCCGCCGCGGUAAUAC
This 406-nucleotide ribosomal RNA is filed under the name uncultured bacterium. Its description in RNAcentral is "partial 16S ribosomal RNA". It matches the Rfam family "Bacterial small subunit ribosomal RNA", at positions 30 to 526 of the family's 1533-position model. The record is from RNAcentral.